RNAcentral lists this long non-coding RNA (230 nucleotides) under Panax ginseng (ginseng). Its description in RNAcentral is "long non-coding RNA (PGIN_LNC012062)". Lineage: Eukaryota; Viridiplantae; Streptophyta; Magnoliopsida; Apiales; Araliaceae. The record is from RNAcentral.
GGUGGGUGAAGCAACAUUGUUGGGACCCGAGUUGGUACGUAUGACUACGAAAAAGAUCCAAAUGAUUCGACAACGUAUACAAACGGCACAAGAUCGACAAAAGAGUUAUGCGGAUCUUCAUCGAAAGGACGUGAAAUUUAGUAUUGGGGAUCAUGUAUUGUUGCGUGUUGCCCCCAUGGAAGGGAUUUACAAGAUUCGGGAAGAGAGGAAAGCUCAAUCCACGAUUUAUU